This 64-nucleotide non-coding RNA is filed under the name Serratia plymuthica. The record is from RNAcentral. Lineage: Bacteria; Pseudomonadati; Pseudomonadota; Gammaproteobacteria; Enterobacterales; Yersiniaceae.
GCCGGCACGACAUUGCUCACAUUGCUUCCAAUCUUUGUUGCCAGCCUCGUGCUGGCAUUUUUUU